ACGCUCGACACCUACGGGAGGCAGCAGUUGGGAAUAUUGGACAAUGGAGGAAACUCUGAUCCAGUGACGCCGCGUGAAGGAAGAAGGUCUUCGGAUUGUAAACUUAUUUUGUCAGGGAAGAAAAAAUGACUGUACCUGAAGAAAAAGCACCGGCUAACUACGCGCCAGCAGCCGCGGUAAUCUGAGGCGGGCUGGCAAGGC
Molecule: ribosomal RNA, 201 nt
Filed under: uncultured bacterium
Lineage: Bacteria
Description: partial 16S ribosomal RNA
Rfam family: Bacterial small subunit ribosomal RNA
Source: RNAcentral